RNAcentral lists this ribosomal RNA (252 nucleotides) under uncultured bacterium. Its description in RNAcentral is "partial 16S ribosomal RNA". It matches the Rfam family "Bacterial small subunit ribosomal RNA", at positions 524 to 776 of the family's 1533-position model. The record is from RNAcentral.
UACGGAGGAUGCGAGCGUUAUCCGGAUUUAUUGGGUUUAAAGGGUGCGUAGGCGGACGCUUAAGUCAGCGGUAAAAUUGCGGGGCUCAACCUCGUCGAGCCGUUGAAACUGGGUGCCUUGAGUGGGCGAGAAGUACGCGGAAUGCGUGGUGUAGCGGUGAAAUGCAUAGAUAUCACGCAGAACUCCGAUUGCGAAGGCAGCGUACCGGCGCCCUACUGACGCUGAAGCACGAAAGCGUGGGUAUCGAACAGG